UAGCGGCAGGCUUAACACAUGCAAGUCGAGGGGUAACAGGGAAGCUUGCUUCCGCUGACGACCGGCGCACGGGUGCGUAACGCGUAUAGAACCUACCUUUUACAGAGGAAUAGCCUUUAGAAAUGAAGAUUAAUGCCUCAUAGUAUUGUAGACUGGCAUCAGUUUACAAUUAAAGAUUUAUCGGUAAAAGAUGGCUAUGCGUCCUAUUAGCUAGAUGGUAAGGUAACGGCUUACCAUGGCAACGAUAGGUAGGGGCCCUGAGAGGGGGAUCCCCCACACUGGUACUGAGACACGGACCAGACUCCUACGGGAGGCAGCAGUGAGGAAUAUUGGGCAAUGGAGGCAACUCUGACCCAGCCAUGCCGCGUGCAGGAAGACUGCCCUAUGGGUUGUAAACUGCUUUUAUACAGGAAGAAACACCCCCUCGUGAGGGGGCUUGACGGUACUGUAAGAAUAAGGACCGGCUAACUCCGUGCCAGCAGCCGCGGUAAUACGGAGGGUCCAAGCGUUAUCCGGAAUCAUUGGGUUUAAAGGGUCCGCAGGCGGUCAAUUAAGUCAGAGGUGAAAUCCCAUAGCUCAACUAUGGAACUGCCUUUGAUACUGGUUGACUUGAGUUAUACGGAAGUAGAUAGAAUGUGUAGUGUAGCGGUGAAAUGCAUAGAUAUUACACAGAAUACCGAUUGCGAAGGCAGUCUACUACGUAUAUACUGACGCUCAUGGACGAAAGCGUGGGGAGCGAACAGGAUUAGAUACCCUGGUAGUCCACGCCGUAAACGAUGGACACUAGUUGUUGGGCAUUAGCUCAGUGACUAAGCGAAAGUGAUA
This 825-nucleotide ribosomal RNA is filed under the name uncultured Polaribacter sp. Its description in RNAcentral is "bacterial SSU rRNA". It matches the Rfam family "Bacterial small subunit ribosomal RNA", at positions 37 to 862 of the family's 1533-position model. The record is from RNAcentral. Lineage: Bacteria; Pseudomonadati; Bacteroidota; Flavobacteriia; Flavobacteriales; Flavobacteriaceae.